GCCGCACCCACUGUCCACAGGCCCCGUCCUGUGGUGCCGCACAGAGAGAGACACAAAAUGCUGGAGUAACUCAGCCUCAACCCCGAGGCCUUAAACACAGUGUCCCGCUUUAACACCCACACGGCAGAAAACACACGUCAGGAGGCGAGUGCGUUUACAAGCUGGGAGGUCAUGUUGCAGUUAUAUAAAUGACCUCCAUCAAGGACGCAGAGUUAUUAUCCUAAAAUGGUGGCCCUGCUUCUGCAAAUACUGCCGAAACUGUUGAGCACUUCUUAAUUUCUUUUUUUUUUAAUUCGCUUUUGAUGCGUUUUAAUAACAUAUUUUCUCGGGAUACAGGAGGAGUACCAAGGAGCUGCUAGAGGUUUGGACGUGUAACCAUGGGCCACCGAUUUCUCUGGUAUUCCAGAUGUCCACAGCUGCAGAUUACACUGUACAUGAAAGGUGGCGGAAUCGGACAAUGUGGAGACUCGGAAGUAAUAUAGGAAGGUGAUGGUCCCUGUGUGUGAUGAUCACAAUCCAGUGCUUUACUGGAAAGCACCUGAAUUGGAACCAGCUGUGAUCCUUCACACUGUUUACUGUCACUAGUAUUCGAACAAUAUCUACACUGGAAAGCAUUCUAAUUCAAGAAUCCAAGAUCGUUCUACAGUAAUUCUGACAAUAUUUGCUGCCACACUGUGGAUUCGGCCUGGUGUCAGUCACACAUCUGGCAGCUGAGGAUGAAUGUGUGAACUGGCUGUUUGGGAGCAGAGCGCGUUGGAGCCUUAAAAACGUUGUUUAAUCAUCCACUCAUUUGUUUAUGUCUCAAAUUCUGCUUCGUAUUUCUCCACUGUGAUGAAGCCAGACUCAAUAAGUUAGUCACAAAUUGCUGGAGUAAUUCAGCGGGGAGGCAACAUCUCCGGAGAGAAGGAAUGGGCGACAUUUCAGGUCGAAACCUUUCUUCAGAAUUAGUUAGUUAAGUUAGUGCUAUGAAGAAAUAAAAUGUGACUUUAUUGUUGAACAUAGAUACACUAUCACUCUUAUGCAUCAUUUAGUUCCAUGCAUAUACCCUCUCAACCAUGUAAAUGGACAGCCAAACCUGUGUGUGAAAUCUCUUUGGAUGUGGGAACUGUGACAAUCAUCUGUGUAUGGAUGUAGCCAAGGUGGGAAAGACUGGGUAUAUAUUCUGCAUACUUGCAGAAUAUAUACAUUUGCAUCCAAACAAUAGUUUGUACAGGAUAUGAUAACUAUGUUAUUAAAACUAUGAAUGUCAUGUUCUCAUGAACAAUAUCAAUUGCUUCUGAAAACGCACCUUUAGUUGUCAUAUUUGCUGCUGAAACUGGGACUGUUUUCCCUGGAACAAACGUGGCAAAGGGGUGAAUUUAUAAAGUUUAUAAAAACAAAUAUCGCUUUCUUAAUAAAGUUCUGGUCAAAAUUAACUUUG
Long non-coding RNA from Leucoraja erinaceus (little skate), 1420 nucleotides. RefSeq lists it as uncharacterized. The record is from RefSeq and is a predicted model, not a curated record. Lineage: Eukaryota; Metazoa; Chordata; Chondrichthyes; Rajiformes; Rajidae. The transcript has 3 exons.